RNAcentral lists this non-coding RNA (30 nucleotides) under Mus musculus (house mouse). Lineage: Eukaryota; Metazoa; Chordata; Mammalia; Rodentia; Muridae. The record is from RNAcentral.
UGCCUCUCUUUGGGCUUGCAAGAAGUCAUC